RNAcentral lists this ribosomal RNA (468 nucleotides) under uncultured bacterium. RNAcentral describes it as "partial 16S ribosomal RNA". It matches the Rfam family "Bacterial small subunit ribosomal RNA", at positions 28 to 507 of the family's 1533-position model. The record is from RNAcentral.
GACGAACGCUGGCGGCGUGCUUAACACAUGCAAGUCGAACGGAAAGGCCCUGCUUUUGUGGGGUGCUCGAGUGGCGAACGGGUGAGUAACACGUGAGUAACCUGCCCUUGACUUUGGGAUAACUUCAGGAAACUGGGGCUAAUACCGGAUAGGAGCUCCUGCUGCAUGGUGGGGGUUGGAAAGUUUCGGCGGUUGGGGAUGGACUCGCGGCUUAUCAGCUUGUUGGUGGGGUAGUGGCUUACCAAGGCUUUGACGGGUAGCCGGCCUGAGAGGGUGACCGGCCACAUUGGGACUGCGAUACGGCCCAGACUCCUACGGGCGGCAGCAGUGGGGAAUAUUGCACAAUGGGCGCAAGCCUGAUGCAGCAACGCCGCGUGCGGGAUGACGGCCUUCGGGUUGUAAACCGCUUUCGCCUGUGACGAAGCGUGAGUGACGGUACUGGGUAAAGAAGCACCGGCUAACUACGUG